GAUGAACGCUGGCGGCGUGCCUAAUACAUGCAAGUCGAGCGAACAGACGAGGAGCUUGCUCCUCUGACGUUAGCGGCGGACGGGUGAGUAACACGUGGAUAACCUACCUAUAAGACUGGGAUAACUUCGGGAAACCGGAGCUAAUACCGGAUAAUAUAUUGAACCGCAUGGUUCAAUAGUGAAAGACGGUUUUGCUGUCACUUAUAGAUUGAUCCGCGCCGCAUUAGCUAGUUGGUAAGGUAACGGCUUACCAAGGCAACGAUGCGUAGCCGACCUGAGAGGGUGAUCGGCCACACUGGAACUGAGACACGGUCCAGACUCCUACGGGAGGCAGCAGUAGGGAAUCCUCCGCAAUGGGCGAAAGCCUGACGGAGCAACGCCGCGUGAGUGAUGAAGGCCUUCGGAUCGUAAAACUCUGUUAUUAGGGAAGAACAAAUGUGUAAGUAACUAUGCACGUCUUGACGGUACCUAAUCAGAAAGCCACGGCUAACUACGUG
RNAcentral lists this ribosomal RNA (497 nucleotides) under uncultured bacterium. RNAcentral describes it as "partial 16S ribosomal RNA". It matches the Rfam family "Bacterial small subunit ribosomal RNA", at positions 28 to 507 of the family's 1533-position model. The record is from RNAcentral.